Molecule: ribosomal RNA, 648 nt
Filed under: uncultured bacterium
Lineage: Bacteria
Description: partial 16S ribosomal RNA
Rfam family: Bacterial small subunit ribosomal RNA
Source: RNAcentral
UCACUAUAGGGCAGCUUGCCUGCCGGCCUCUGCCUCACGGGCCCGGGAUCCGAUUAGAGUUUGAUCCUGGCUCACGAUGACGCUGGCGGCGUGCCUAACACAUGCUGGUCGAACGAAGCACUUCUCCCGUCGAAGUAGAUUAUCUUGCUGUGAAGCGGAGACAUUUGAAGUGACUUAUUGGCGGACGGGUGAGUAACGCGUGGGUAACCUGCCCUGUACUGGGGGACAACAGUUGGAAACGGCUGCUAAUACCGCAUAAGCGCACAGCAUCGCAUGGUGCAGUGUGAAAAACUCCGGUGGUACAGGAUGGACCCGCGUCUGAUUAGCUAGUUGGUGGGGUAACGGCCUACCAAGGCGGCGAUCAGUAUCCGGCCUGAGAGGGUGAACAGCCACAUUGGGACUGAGACACGGCCCACACUCCUACGGGAGGCAGCAGUGGGGGAAUAUUGCACAAUGGGGGAAACCCUAAUGCAGCGACGCCGCGUGAGUGAUGAAGUAUUUCUGUAUGUAAAGCUCUAUCAGCACGGAAGAAAAUGACGGCUACCUCACUAUAGGCAGCGGCUAUAUACGUGCCGGCCAGCCGCGCUAUACGUAUGGUGCAGCGUUAUCUGGAGUUACUGGGCGUAAAGAGUGCGUAGGCGUCUGCUA